This is a long non-coding RNA of Sarcophilus harrisii (Tasmanian devil), 4999 nucleotides long. Lineage: Eukaryota; Metazoa; Chordata; Mammalia; Dasyuromorphia; Dasyuridae. The record is from Ensembl.
UCUCUUUUCACCAUCUCAUCUUCAUCAAAAGUAUUAAACAAUUAUAACAACAACAUAUUUUUUAGGGCUUUUAUAUUUGCAAAACAUUUUCUUAUGAAAUGAUUCCUACCUUCGAGUAACUCAAAGGUAAUUAUAAUUCAAAACAAAGUUAAAGUAAAUACUUAUUAGUGAAGAGUAUGAUAUUUAAUAAGGUAACUAGGUAGUGCAGUGAUUAGAGUGCAGGGCCUAGAAUCAGGAGGAGUUAUCUUCUUGAGUUCAAAUCUGACCUCAGUUUGCUCAUCUGUAAAAUGCACUGGAGAAGUAAAUGAAGAAGGAAACCACUCCAGUAUUUUUGUCAAGAAAACUUUAAAUGGAGAAACAAAGAGUUGGAUAUAUCUGAAAACAACUGAACAAGAACAAUAAUAGUUAAUAGUUAAUAAAUGAUAUGAACAAUUGAAAAUGACUGCUUGGGUCAAAAUCUCCUCUCCCAAUUUUCUUGACCACUUGAUUGAGCAGUGGAUAGCAACAUCUUUUUAUAAAUUUGCUGAAUUCUACAAUUCAAGAAUUAUAUACAGUCAGGAUUUCAAGGGUUUGUACAUGUGGCAAAUCAGUUUCUUCCCCUUCUUUUCUCUUUUAUUUUGACCUACACUUUUGGUAUAGUACAAUCAUUCAAUAAAAUUUUGUUGAUUGUUGUUGAACUGCUCCAAGAUAUAUCUGACAAUCUUUUUAUAUAUUACUUUGAGUAUCUAAAACUGUGAUUUCUAGAGGUCAAAUAUGCUCUCUUUAAUUUUUUCUGCAUGAUUUGAUUCUGUGAGAUGUGUGUUCUUCAUAUAAUCUAAGCAGCAUGGUACAGUUGGGUUUUUGUUGUUUUAUUGAUGUCCCUUUUGUUUUUUAAAUGUCAUAAGUCACCAUAUCCCCUCACAUAAGCUUUUGUCAUUGGAAAGUAAAAGUUAAGCAAGAUUAAGUGAUGCAUUGAGUGAAUGCUAGCAUAUACAGGUAUGAAUUGCUCUAGCCAUUCUGAAAAGCAAUUUGGAAUUUUCUCUAGAAAAGUUACUAAACUGCAUAUGCUUUGAUCUAACUAUAUACCAAAGUAUCAAAGAAAGAGGAAAAGGAUCCAUAAAUAAAAAAAUUCAGUUCUUUUCAUGGUAGUUAAAAUUAGAAGUAAAAGGGGAGACUUCCUAUAGUAGAAUGUAUAUUUUGUGACAAAUGAAUGCAGUGGAAUAUUAUUAACCAUAAAUGAGGAACUAUAAUGUCAAAGGAAAUUGAGAAGAGCUUUUUGAAUUGAUGGAGAGUUAAAUAAGGAGAAAUGGGAGAACAAUUUAUGAAAUGACAAUAUAAUACAAGAAAACAACUUUUAAAAACUUUAGAUCUCUAAUCAAUGCAAUAAUAAAUCAUAAUUCUAAUAGAAUGAUCACUUAUCUCACCACAUCUUCUGGCAGAGUGAAAAAAUAGAAAAAGAGACAUACCGUUUUAGAUAUGAUUGAUAUGGAAAAUUGUUUUGCUGGAUGAUGGAGUUCUAUAUAGAAAUCUCUGUUAUUUGUAUUUCUUUUUUGUUUCUGUUUUUAAUUUACUGAAUGGAAGGAGAAAUAGUGUGAGAGAUGGAUGAAUAAAAAGGUUUGCUACUUGAAAAGUAAAAAACAAAAAUGAUUUAAACAUUUUUUUCCACCUGAAAUACUUCAACUUCAUGAUUGAUAAGAAUGAAUAAAAUAGAACUAAAAUCCUCACAUUGUACUUUGCUCCUCUCCCAGCACAUAAUUCUGAGAAACUGAACUUGCAAAAGUCAAAUCCUGGCUGGUGAAUUGUGUGACUUAUAGAUUUCUCUAUAAAAAGUCGAGUGUCAGGUGAUGAGCUUGUUCUGUUGAUUGCAUAAUGAUGUAUAGAAUACUUUCUGGAAAUCAAGCUUAUCCGUGAAUAAAAUUACUAACAUCCUGGAACAGAGAGCUGCCAUUGGCUAUGCAAUGUGGUAAUAGAGUUAAGACUCACUCAGGUGAGGACUGGAUUACUCAAUCAACAGACAUUUAACUGCCCAUUCUACACCAGAUAAUAUGUUAGGCACUAAUGAAUUCACCUGACUUCUCCAUAGAUAAGUGCAUAUCUUUCUAGUUUUUACUAAUACCUUCAGUGAGAAUACAUGUGUGUGAGAUGGAAAUCUAAAUGUAGUGCAGUGAGAGGGAAGAGAAGAGGAGAGAACUAAAAUAAAGCACCACUGGUGGCAAGUAUAAUAUUUAAUAGUUAAAUGAUAUGAACAAUUGAAAAUAUGCACUUUAGCCAAAUUUAUCUUUUCUGCCAAAUUUCCUGACCACUUGAUUUUACUCCACCAAUUACAAUUUAAAUGGAAGUGAUUCAGUUUCCUGGGAUGGCACUGGUAUACUGUCCAGGUUUCACAGACACCCAACAAUGAGAUCAGCACAGAUGGCUUUGUAGACCUUCCAUUUUGUAGUCAGUCUAAUACUCUCUCCUCUUCCACACUUUCCUUUGUCACCUCCUAAACCCUGAGUUAGCUCUGGCAUUGCACGUGUCAAUCUAGAAUUGUUUUAGCAAGAUUCUGAAGCUCACCUGGCAGGAUAAGAUACCAGACACUGAGGUCAUUUUUUGAACUAAACUGCAAGCAUCCCAGCUUUACUGCAGAGAGAACAACUCCACUGAGUUGGCCACAUAGCUUGGAUGCCAAAUGUAUGCUUGCAAAAAAAAUAUUUUAUGGAGAAGCCACAGAGGGCAUGACAUGGGAGACACUGGCAUAGGACUGCCCAGCAUGGCAUCUCUUCGUCAAGAGAAGGUGCUGUGCUCUAUGAGCAAAGCAGAAGUGAAUUAGCCCCAGAGAAAUGCAAGAUAUGCAAAAAUAGAGAAGUUACCCCAAAUGUUCAUAUGGACUGUCUGUGUCCAACCUGUGGCAGAGCAUUCUGAGCUCAGAUUGGUCUGAUCAGUCUCAGUUAGACACACUAUAAGUUGACACUAACAUAGUGAUGUCAUUUUGGUCCUGUUCUUUGGAGAUCUUUUCUUCCUCUGCAUGUUAAGAGUAAGAACUGCAUUUAUAGAAAGACCAUAGUCUUUCUAUAAAGUCAUCCUAAACUCUGAGAGAAAGGAGCUAUAUUUCAUCAUCUUUCUUCUUGAAUCAAUUUUGGUCUUUUCUGUCUCCUGAGUUCAGUGACUUUUUAGAAGUGUGUUCAUUUUUAUUAUCAUAAUCAUUUUAUGUGUUUUUUUUGUUCUUCAUUCUGCAUAACUUCAUAUAUCUCUUCUUAUUUUUCUCUGAAUUUUUCAUAUUUGUUGUAAUUUAUGGCAAAAUAAUAUGCUAAUCACAUUUUGUGAUUAUAUAAUUUGUGAACUAUUCCCCAUUUUUCCCUAGGAUACUUAAUAACCAUUGUUUUCUUAAUUUAUAAAUUGGUAUACAAGUAUUUUAAAAUUGAGUUAUUUUAAUUACAUCUUUUUCUUCUGAUAGAUACAUAAACUACCAGCAUUUUAAAGUGUUUCUGUUUGAUUCUGCAGUGUUUCUACUUCCUACUUGUCAUUUCCAUUAAGAGCCUUUUUUCUGUAAACAAUGCUCUCAUUAGCAUUUUGAAUCAUCACUGUCCAUAAAAAUUAAGAUAGAAUUGCUGACACUGAGAUAAAAAAAAUUAUUUCUAUACAACUCCAAAAGUUCCCACAGUUAAUAUAGUAUUAUUAGCAGUUGCUAGCUUUCAUUUCUUCUACAAUAUUUUCUCAUCCCAAUUUAUUUCAUUAAUGGAAUGCAAUAUCACAAAAUAUAGUCAGGGAAUCUUAUUCAAUGCAAUUUAGUCUCUAUUUAUUAGGUACCUACAACAGAUAAGGCACUGUUUUUGGUGCUGAGGAUCUAAAGAUAAAAACCAAAACCCAAACUCUUUUACAGUUAAAAAGUUUACAUUCUAUUGAGAUAACUAGGAACAGAAAGAGCCUUGCUAUUUAGUUUAUUCUAUAAAAAAGUGAAAUACAUAUCUCCUUUACUCCAUAAACAAACUGCUUACAUUCAAAUAUCUUGCUUCCACUGCUUUAUGCUUUUAGGUCACUAGAGGGAGAUAGAGGAAAAGUUUUCAAAGAAGCUAUAGCACAAAGAGAGGAGAAAUCCCAAUACUUGGUUAAAUCAGUUUUGUGUACAUCUCUGAAAACAACUGUAGAGGGUCAAAUGUCAAAUCAAAUGGUAUAGCAAAUUCAGAAACUUGUUUUCCAUUAGGCUCACAUUGAGAAUAAAUUUAUUACUGAUCAUUUAUCCAACCCCAUUAAUUGGCUAGUUAUCAACACUAUUUGAGGCUUUUUUUGUUAAUUAAAGGUAUAAACAGUCAAAUCUCCCUCCUUCCUCUCUGUUCUUCCCCUUAUGCAACCUAAGAAAUAUAUAGGCUAAAAGAACUUGAGAAUGUUCACCCUCCUCUAAGUUGCUUUUGUGUUCAAAUUUUAUAGUGGCCUGAAGUUGGUGUUUAAUUAUGAGUUGUUGGAAAUCAAAAUAUCAAAUUCAGGAUCUUUACAUUACAUAUAUUAAAACAUUUAGUAAUGUGGCUACUUGCCAUUUUUUUUUUUUUGAUAAAUCUUUCUUUACCCUUUCCAGUGAAUGGAUGACUGGGUGUACUUUCAAAGAAAGAAAGAUCUCACUUCAUGUCAGUCAUAAAGUUUGGCAUUUGUGAUUUCUAGUUUUCAAAGUUUCUCUCUCAGUGUUGUCAGUCCACACCAUAUUCCCUUUUUAAGAGAAAAGAACUAACUGAAAACAGUAGGGGGACUCCUUUCAUUAAAAAAUUUGUAAUUGGUAGAAGAGGCAAAGAAGCAGAUUUUAAUUUCAGAAAUGGGUUAAAAAUCUUGGAACAAUUCAAGUACUUCAUUAGUAAAAAGUUUUGAGAUCGAAAUGUCACUUUUAGGCAUUUUAGGUUCUGAAGUUCUUCCACUUCUGAUAUUCUAAAAUCCCUAAUGUUUUUCCAUAAUGUUCUGCGAUACUGAGCAAUGUUGGGGACAUCACUAGGGCAAAUCUUUUGAAUAAGGCGAAUCUGAAAUCCCAAUCUUUGCUAUUUGCGUUUCGGAUUUU